RNAcentral lists this ribosomal RNA (861 nucleotides) under Vibrio cholerae. Its description in RNAcentral is "partial 23S ribosomal RNA". It matches the Rfam family "Bacterial large subunit ribosomal RNA", at positions 317 to 1188 of the family's 2925-position model. The record is from RNAcentral. Lineage: Bacteria; Pseudomonadati; Pseudomonadota; Gammaproteobacteria; Vibrionales; Vibrionaceae.
GCGCUCGGUGAAGUAGGUGAACAAGCUGGAAAGCUUGGCGAUACAGGGUGAUAGCCCCGUAACCGACGCUUCAUCGAGCGUGAAAUCGAGUAGGGCGGGACACGUGAUAUCCUGUCUGAAUAUGGGGGGACCAUCCUCCAAGGCUAAAUACUCCUGACUGACCGAUAGUGAACCAGUACCGUGAGGGAAAGGCGAAAAGAACCCCUGUGAGGGGAGUGAAAUAGAACCUGAAACCGUGUACGUACAAGCAGUAGGAGCACCUUCGUGGUGUGACUGCGUACCUUUUGUAUAAUGGGUCAGCGACUUAUAUUCAGUGGCAAGGUUAACCGUAUAGGGGAGCCGUAGCGAAAGCGAGUCUUAACUGGGCGCUCAGUCUCUGGAUAUAGACCCGAAACCGGGUGAUCUAGCCAUGGGCAGGUUGAAGGUUGAGUAACAUCAACUGGAGGACCGAACCGACUAAUGUUGAAAAAUUAGCGGAUGACUUGUGGCUAGGGGUGAAAGGCCAAUCAAACUCGGAGAUAGCUGGUUCUCCCCGAAAGCUAUUUAGGUAGCGCCUCGGACGAAUACUACUGGGGGUAGAGCACUGUUAAGGCUAGGGGGUCAUCCCGACUUACCAACCCUUUGCAAACUCCGAAUACCAGUAAGUACUAUCCGGGAGACACACGGCGGGUGCUAACGUCCGUCGUGGAGAGGGAAACAACCCAGACCGCCAGCUAAGGUCCCAAAGUAUUGCUAAGUGGGAAACGAUGUGGGAAGGCUCAGACAGCUAGGAUGUUGGCUUAGAAGCAGCCAUCAUUUAAAGAAAGCGUAAUAGCUCACUAGUCGAGUCGGCCUGCGCGGAAGAUGUAACGGGGCUAAGCA